Molecule: long non-coding RNA, 967 nt
Filed under: Sorghum bicolor (sorghum)
Lineage: Eukaryota; Viridiplantae; Streptophyta; Magnoliopsida; Poales; Poaceae
Description: long non-coding RNA (SBIC_LNC014327)
Source: RNAcentral
GCCUUUAUCAUGUUGAGCUUCCUCAACAAUUAUUGCUCCCAAGUUUUUAUAUUUUCAUUUUAUAAAGUAGAAAGGAAAUAUUUAUUUUAUUUUUAUGCCACCACAGUGAAUGUACUUAUGGGUUUUAUGCCGCUUGUAUACUCACAUGGGGCUUACUAUUUUUCACAUUUUUAUUUUCUUUUUAGGAUAGUAUGAACAUAAUUAACUAAGUAAACUAUUUAAAAUAAUUGAAAGGGAAAGGAUAACUACCAAGUUUACCUCUUGGCAAGGCAUUCGGUAUUUUUAAGUCCUCCGAACGGGACUCUCCGUUUUCUCAAUUGUCCUGGGAUUCGUUGGGUGGCGUAGUCGGUACUUCCGGAGGCGCCUCCUCUUCAUGUAUAGUUAUCUUCUCUUUCCAUACCUGACUCGGUGCUAUGGUCUCCUCAGGAUAGCUCUAUUUAAACUCUACGUCUUCUGAUCUUACAACUUCUCCUUCAUAGUCUGCCCAUCCAACCUUGAUGAUUUGCCUCCUCUGGUUGCGGUUGUGUCAUUUCCUGACGUGCUUAGAUUCUUCAAAGAUAUAGUUAGGGUCAGUAAAAUAACGGCGUACCUUUUCUGAGGGGAAGUGCAUAUGGACUUCUCCGGUUCCAAUGUAGAUGAUUGCUUUAACAGUGCUGAGGAACGGUCUUCUAAGGAUGAUGGGUGGGUCGUAUUCGUCUUCUCCCAUGUCAAUAACCUAAAAGUCUGUGUAGACAAAAUGAUCGUCUAUUUUGACUGGGACAUCAGUUACUGUUCCUAUAACUUCUCGAAACAUCUGAUCUGCCAUCUAAAGCUGAAUGUAUGUUGGUUUUAGGGGCAUGGUUCCGAACAAGAGCCGAUAGGUGACUGUUGAUAUUUGGGAACGCAAUAAGGAAUUGAUCCGCAAGCGCACGGAUAUCAGUGAGCACUUCACCCGAGAAAUUAUCCAGAGUAUCGUAUUUAUUUUUUU